This 2799-nucleotide ribosomal RNA is filed under the name Shigella sonnei. RNAcentral's name for it is "bacterial LSU rRNA". It matches the Rfam family "Bacterial large subunit ribosomal RNA". Lineage: Bacteria; Pseudomonadati; Pseudomonadota; Gammaproteobacteria; Enterobacterales; Enterobacteriaceae. The record is from RNAcentral.
GGGUUGUGAGGUUAAGCGACUAAGCGUACACGGUGGAUGCCCUGGCAGUCAGAGGCGAUGAAGGACGUGCUAAUCUGCGAUAAGCGUCGGUAAGGUGAUAUGAACCGUUAUAACCGGCGAUUUCCGAAUGGGGAAACCCAGUGUGNNAGCCCAGAGCCUGAAUCAGUGUGUGUGUUAGUGGAAGCGUCUGGAAAGGCGCGCGAUACAGGGUGACAGCCCCGUACACAAAAAUGCACAUAUUGUGAGCUCGAUGAGUAGGGCGGGACACGUGGUAUCCUGUCUGAAUAUGGGGGGACCAUCCUCCAAGGCUAAAUACUCCUGACUGACCGAUAGUGAACCAGUACCGUGAGGGAAAGGCGAAAAGAACCCCGGCGAGGGGAGUGAAAAAGAACCUGAAACCGUGUACGUACAAGCAGUGGGAGCACGCUUAGGCGUGUGACUGCGUACCUUUUGUAUAAUGGGUCAGCGACUUAUAUUCUGUAGCAAGGUUAACCGAAUAGGGGAGCCGAAGGGAAACCGAGUCUUAACUGGGCGUUAAGUUGCAGGGUAUAGACCCGAAACCCGGUGAUCUAGCCAUGGGCAGGUUGAAGGUUGGGUAACACUAACUGGAGGACCGAACCGACUAAUGUUGAAAAAUUAGCGGAUGACUUGUGGCUGGGGGUGAAAGGCCAAUCAAACCGGGAGAUAGCUGGUUCUCCCCGAAAGCUAUUUAGGUAGCGCCUCGUGAAUUCAUCUCCGGGGGUAGAGCACUGUUUCGGCAAGGGGGUCAUCCCGACUUACCAACCCGAUGCAAACUGCGAAUACCGGAGAAUGUUAUCACGGGAGACACACGGCGGGUGCUAACGUCCGUCGUGAAGAGGGAAACAACCCAGACCGCCAGCUAAGGUCCCAAAGUCAUGGUUAAGUGGGAAACGAUGUGGGAAGGCCCAGACAGCCAGGAUGUUGGCUUAGAAGCAGCCAUCAUUUAAAGAAAGCGUAAUAGCUCACUGGUCGAGUCGGCCUGCGCGGAAGAUGUAACGGGGCUAAACCAUGCACCGAAGCUGCGGCAGCGACGCUUAUGCGUUGUUGGGUAGGGGAGCGUUCUGUAAGCCUGCGAAGGUGUGCUGUGAGGCAUGCUGGAGGUAUCAGAAGUGCGAAUGCUGACAUAAGUAACGAUAAAGCGGGUGAAAAGCCCGCUCGCCGGAAGACCAAGGGUUCCUGUCCAACGUUAAUCGGGGCAGGGUGAGUCGACCCCUAAGGCGAGGCCGAAAGGCGUAGUCGAUGGGAAACAGGUUAAUAUUCCUGUACUUGGUGUUACUGCGAAGGGGGGACGGAGAAGGCUAUGUUGGCCGGGCGACGGUUGUCCCGGUUUAAGCGUGUAGGCUGGUUUUCCAGGCAAAUCCGGAAAAUCAAGGCUGAGGCGUGAUGACGAGGCACUACGGUGCUGAAGCAACAAAUGCCCUGCUUCCAGGAAAAGCCUCUAAGCAUCAGGUAACAUCAAAUCGUACCCCAAACCGACACAGGUGGUCAGGUAGAGAAUACCAAGGCGCUUGAGAGAACUCGGGUGAAGGAACUAGGCAAAAUGGUGCCGUAACUUCGGGAGAAGGCACGCUGAUAUGUAGGUGAAGUCCCUUGCGGAUGGAGCUGAAAUCAGUCGAAGAUACCAGCUGGCUGCAACUGUUUAUUAAAAACACAGCACUGUGCAAACACGAAAGUGGACGUAUACGGUGUGACGCCUGCCCGGUGCCGGAAGGUUAAUUGAUGGGGUCAGCGCAAGCGAAGCUCUUGAUCGAAGCCCCGGUAAACGGCGGCCGUAACUAUAACGGUCCUAAGGUAGCGAAAUUCCUUGUCGGGUAAGUUCCGACCUGCACGAAUGGCGUAAUGAUGGCCAGGCUGUCUCCACCCGAGACUCAGUGAAAUUGAACUCGCUGUGAAGAUGCAGUGUACCCGCGGCAAGACGGAAAGACCCCGUGAACCUUUACUAUAGCUUGACACUGAACAUUGAGCCUUGAUGUGUAGGAUAGGUGGGAGGCUUUGAAGUGUGGACGCCAGUCUGCAUGGAGCCGGCCUUGAAAUACCACCCUUUAAUGUUUGAUGUUCUAACGUGGACCCGUGAUCCGGGUUGCGGACAGUGUCUGGUGGGUAGUUUGACUGGGGCGGUCUCCUCCUAAAGAGUAACGGAGGAGCACGAAGGUUGGCUAAUCCUGGUCGGACAUCAGGAGGUUAGUGCAAUGGCAUAAGCCAGCUUGACUGCGAGCGUGACGGCGCGAGCAGGUGCGAAAGCAGGUCAUAGUGAUCCGGUGGUUCUGAAUGGAAGGGCCAUCGCUCAACGGAUAAAAGGUACUCCGGGGAUAACAGGCUGAUACCGCCCAAGAGUUCAUAUCGACGGCGGUGUUUGGCACCUCGAUGUCGGCUCAUCACAUCCUGGGGCUGAAGUAGGUCCCAAGGGUAUGGCUGUUCGCCAUUUAAAGUGGUACGCGAGCUGGGUUUAGAACGUCGUGAGACAGUUCGGUCCCUAUCUGCCGUGGGCGCUGGAGAACUGAGGGGGGCUGCUCCUAGUACGAGAGGACCGGAGUGGACGCAUCACUGGUGUUCGGGUUGUCAUGCCAAUGGCACUGCCCGGUAGCUAAAUGCGGAAGAGAUAAGUGCUGAAAGCAUCUAAGCACGAAACUUGCCCCGAGAUGAGUUCUCCCUGACCCUUUAAGGGUCCUGAAGGAACGUUGAAGACGACGACGUUGAUAGGCCGGGUGUGUAAGCGCAGCGAUGCGUUGAGCUAACCGGUACUAAUGAACCGUGAGGCUUAACCUUACAACGCCGAAG